RNAcentral lists this ribosomal RNA (251 nucleotides) under uncultured bacterium. RNAcentral describes it as "partial 16S ribosomal RNA". It matches the Rfam family "Bacterial small subunit ribosomal RNA", at positions 1250 to 1500 of the family's 1533-position model. The record is from RNAcentral.
CGAAGCAGUGAUGUGGAGCGAAACUCAAAAAAAUAAGUCUCAGUUCGGACUGAAGGCUGAAAUUCGCCUUCAUGAAGCCGGAAUUGCUAGUAAUGGCAGGUCAGCAUACUGCCGUGAAUACGUUCCCGGGCCUUGUACACACCGCCCGUCACACCAUGAGAGUUGGGAAUACCCGAAGCCUGUGAGCUAACUUUUAGAGGCAGCAGUCGAAGGUAGAAUCAAUGAUUGGGGUGAAGUCGUAACAAGGUAAC